UGAGGAAUAUUGGUCAAUGGGCGAGAGCCUGAACCAGCCACGUCGCGUGAAGGAAGAAGGUUCUAUGGAUUGUAAACUUCUUUUGUAAGGGAAUAAAAAGUGGUACGUGUACCAUAUGGUGUGUACUUUACGAAUAAGGAUCGGCUAACUCCGUGCCAGCAGCCGCGGUAAUACGGAGGAGCGAGGCGUUAUAAGGAUUUAUUGGGUUUAAGGGGGGCGUAGGCGGUGCUGUAAGUCAGUGGUGAAAGUUUGCGGCUCAACCGUAAAAUGGCCUUUGAAACUGAAGAUCUUGAGUGUAAAUGAGGUAGGCGGAAUGUGUUGUGUAGCGGUGAAAUGCUUAGAUAUAACACAGAACACCAAUUGCGAAGGCAGCUUACUGGGAUACAACUGACGCUGAGGCACGAAAGCGUGGGGAUCAAACA
Molecule: ribosomal RNA, 422 nt
Filed under: uncultured prokaryote
Description: bacterial SSU rRNA
Rfam family: Bacterial small subunit ribosomal RNA
Source: RNAcentral